GCGCGAGUAGCUCAAUUGGUAGAGCACCGGCCUUCUAAGCCGAUGGUUGCGGGUUCGAGCCCCGUCUCGCGUG
Molecule: transfer RNA, 73 nt
Organism: Conexibacter woesei DSM 14684
Lineage: Bacteria; Bacillati; Actinomycetota; Thermoleophilia; Solirubrobacterales; Conexibacteraceae
Rfam family: tRNA
About the family: Transfer RNA (tRNA) molecules are approximately 80 nucleotides in length. Their secondary structure includes four short double-helical elements and three loops (D, anti-codon, and T loops). Further hydrogen bonds mediate the characteristic L-shaped molecular structure. tRNAs have two regions of fundamental functional importance: the anti-codon, which is responsible for specific mRNA codon recognition, and the 3' end, to which the tRNAs corresponding amino acid is attached (by aminoacyl-tRNA synthetases). tRNAs cope with the degeneracy of the genetic code in two manners: having more than one tRNA (with a specific anti-codon) for a particular amino acid; and 'wobble' base-pairing, i.e. permitting non-standard base-pairing at the 3rd anti-codon position.
Source: Rfam